AUGAGCAUAUCAAAACCCAAGAACCAAGAGCACCUUCCUCAUUCACGCCAUUCCUUCUAAAAUUGGCAGAGUUCUUGGUCUUCUUUCUUAUUCAAUCCAUUGAUUUUCGAGUAAACCAAGUUCCAUGGAAGCCUUACUCUUCUUGUUGAUUGUUGGUGUAAACAAACUAAGGAGGCGACAUCAUUAAGGAACCCUUCUGGUGAUCGCGAAGAACCAAAUUUAACUACUUGAAGCGUUCUUGAUCGGAACUAGUUGAAAAUAAUGGAUUAGCGGAGGUGAUUAGAGGUUCCAAGGAUGUAUAUAGAGCUGAGCACGUAGGAA
Amaranthus tricolor (Joseph's coat) is the source of this 321-nucleotide long non-coding RNA. RefSeq lists it as uncharacterized. The transcript has 3 exons. NCBI's taxonomy places the organism in Eukaryota, Viridiplantae, Streptophyta, Magnoliopsida, Caryophyllales, Amaranthaceae. The record is from RefSeq and is a predicted model, not a curated record.